UAGAUUGAAGCCCGCUGGUUUGGGUUUUUAGUUGUUAACUAAGAUUUUAUGGAUCAAGGCCCGUCGAUCUAG
RNAcentral lists this transfer RNA (72 nucleotides) under Bavayia sauvagii. Its description in RNAcentral is "tRNA-Asn". The record is from RNAcentral. Lineage: Eukaryota; Metazoa; Chordata; Lepidosauria; Squamata; Diplodactylidae.